AGUGAACGCUGGCGGUAGGCCUAACACAUGCAAGUCGAACGGCAGCACAGGAGAGCUUGCUCUCUGGGUGGCGAGUGGCGGACGGGUGAGGAAUACAUCGGAAUCUACUCUGUCGUGGGGGAUAACGUAGGGAAACUUACGCUAAUACCGCAUACGACCUACGGGUGAAAGCAGGGGACCUUCGGGCCUUGCGCGAUUGAAUGAGCCGAUGUCGGAUUAGCUAGUUGGCGGGGUAAAGGCCCACCAAGGCGACGAUCCGUAGCUGGUCUGAGAGGAUGAUCAGCCAAACUGGAACUGAGACACGGUCCAGACUCCUACGGGAGGCAGCAGUGGGGAAUAUUGGACAAUGGGCGCAAGCCUGAUCCAGCCAUACCGCGUGGGUGAAGAAGGCCUUCGGGUUGUAAAGCCCUUUUGUUGGGAAAGAAAUCCAGCUGGCUAAUACCCGGUUGGGAUGACGGUACCCAAAGAAUAAGCACCGGCUAAAUACGUGCCAGCCGCCGCAGUAA
RNAcentral lists this ribosomal RNA (506 nucleotides) under uncultured bacterium. RNAcentral's name for it is "partial 16S ribosomal RNA". It matches the Rfam family "Bacterial small subunit ribosomal RNA", at positions 29 to 523 of the family's 1533-position model. The record is from RNAcentral.